AUUGAACGCUGGCGGCAUGCCUCACACAUGCAAGUCGAACGGUAACAGGUCUUCGGAUGCUGACGAGUGGCGAACGGGUGAGUAAUACAUCGGAACGUGCCUAGUAGUGGGGGAUAACUACUCGAAAGAGUGGCUAAUACCGCAUGAGAUCUACGGAUGAAAGCAGGGGAUCGCAAGACCUUGUGCUACUAGAGCGGCCGAUGGCAGAUUAGGUUGUUGGUGGGAUAAAAGCUUACCAAGCCGACGAUCUGUAGCUGGUCUGAGAGGACGAUCAGCCAUACUGGGACUGAGACACGGCCCAGAAUCCUACGGGAGGCAGCAGUGGGGAAUUUUGGACAAUGGGCGCAAGCCUGAUCCAGCAAUGCCGCGUGCAGGAUGAAGGCCUUCGGGUUGUAAACUGCUUUUGUACGGAACGAAAAGCCCUGGGUUAAUACCCUGGGGUCAUGACGGUACCGUAAGAAUAAGCACCGGCUAACUACGUGCCAGCCGCCGCCGUAA
Molecule: ribosomal RNA, 498 nt
Filed under: uncultured bacterium
Lineage: Bacteria
Description: partial 16S ribosomal RNA
Rfam family: Bacterial small subunit ribosomal RNA
Source: RNAcentral